RNAcentral lists this ribosomal RNA (774 nucleotides) under uncultured Neocallimastigales. Its description in RNAcentral is "partial large subunit ribosomal RNA". It matches the Rfam family "Eukaryotic large subunit ribosomal RNA", at positions 22 to 635 of the family's 3401-position model. The record is from RNAcentral. Lineage: Eukaryota; Fungi; Neocallimastigomycota; Neocallimastigomycetes; Neocallimastigales.
GUACACGCUGUGACUAGCAUAUCAAUAAGCGGAGGAAAAGAAACUAACAAGGAUUCCCUUAGUAACGGCGAGUGAAGCGGGAAGAGCUCAAAUUUGAAAUCUUAAAGGGUUUCCCUUUACGAAUUGUAGUUUAAAGAAGUGUCUUCUGUUGAGGUUUUGGUAAAAGUUCUUUGGAAUAGGACAUCAUAGAGGGUGAGAAUCCCGUAUUUGACCUUUACUUUCAACUUUGUGAUACACUUUCAAGGAGUCGGAUUGUUUGGGAAUGCAGUCCAAAAUGGGUGGUAAAUUUCAUCUAAAGCUAAAUAUUGGCGAGAGACCGAUAGCGAACAAGUACCGUGAGGGAAAGAUGAAAAGAACUUUGAAAAGAGAGUUAAACAGUACGUGAAAUUGUCAAAAGGGAAGCGUUUGACACCAGUGUUGUUUUUCUGAAAAUCAAUUAAAGAACUGUUUAUGCUAAGUUGUUUAGACUUUAUCAGCUAACUGUUUAGUUUUGAGCUUUUCUUUAAUGCACUUUUCAGUUAACAAGUCAACAUCAAUUUCUUUUGCUGUAAAAAAGCUUGAGGAAGGUGGCUUGAGAUUCGUCUUAAGUGUUUAUAGCCUCUUGCCUAUGCAGUCGGAGAGAUUGAGGUCUGCAGCGUAGAUCCUUCGGGGCUAAAUGCAUUUGUGCUAAGUUAUAGCAUUUUAUAGACAACUUGUUGACUAUGAUUUGUCUUGUAGCUUACUCGCUUAUGUUAUUUUACCUACGCUUAGGAUGUUGAAGAUGUAGCACAUCAU